AACGAACGCUGGCGGCGCGCCUAAUACAUGCAAGUCGAGCGAGAAGACGUAGCAAUACGUUUGUAAAGCGGCGAACGGGUGAGGAAUACAUGGGUAACCUACCCUCGAGUGGGGAAUAACUAGCCGAAAGGUUAGCUAAUACCGCGUACGCUCCUUGGACUUCGGUUCAGGGAGGAAAGCGAUACCGUGGGUAUCGCGCUCUUGGAUGGGCUCAUGUCCUAUCAGCUUGUUGGUGAGGUAACGGCUCACCAAGGCUUCGACGGGUAGCUGGUCUGAGAGGACGAUCAGCCACACUGGCACUGCGACACGGGCCAGACUCCUACGGGAGGCAGCAGUAAGGAAUAUUGCGCAAUGGGCGAAAGCCUGACGCAGCGACGCCGCGUGGGGGAGUGAAGGUCUUCGGA
This 404-nucleotide ribosomal RNA is filed under the name uncultured bacterium. RNAcentral describes it as "bacterial SSU rRNA". It matches the Rfam family "Bacterial small subunit ribosomal RNA", at positions 29 to 422 of the family's 1533-position model. The record is from RNAcentral.